CCUUGAAGAGUUUGAUCAUGGCUCAGAUUGAACGCUGGCGGCAGGCCUAACACAUGCAAGUCGAACGGUACAGGAAGAAGCUUGCUCUUUGCUGACGAGUGGCGGACGGGUGAGUAAUGUCUGGGAAACUGCCUGAUGGAGGGGGAUAAUACUGGAAACGGUAGCUAAUACCGCAUAACGUCGCAAGACCAAAGAGGGGGACCUUCGGCCUCUUGCCAACGGAUGUGCCCAGAUCCGAUUAGCUAGUAGGUGGGGUAACGGCUCACCUAGGCGACGAUUCACGCCCUCUGAGAGGAUGACCAGCCACACUGGAACGAGACACGGUCCAGACUCCUACGGGAGGCAGCAGUGGGGUUAUUGCACAAUGGGCCAAGCCUGAUGCAGCCAUGCCGCGUGUAUGUUGAAGGCCUUCGGGUUGUAAAGUACUUUCAGAGGGGAGGAAGGGAGUAAAAUUAAUACCUUGCUCAUUGACGUUACCCGCAGAAGUAGCACCGGCUACAUUCUCCGUGCCAGCUGCUGCGGUAAUACGGAGGGUGCAAGCGUUAAUCGGAAUUACUGGGCGUAAAGCGCACGCAGGCGGUUUGUUAAGUCAGAUGUGAAAUCCCCGGGCUCAACCUGGGAACUGCAUCUGAUAUGGCAAGCUUGAGUCUCGUAGAGGGGGGUAGAAUUCCAGGUGUAGCGGUGAAAUGCGUAGAGAUCUGGAGGAAUACCGGUGGCGAAGGCGGCCCCCUGGACGAAGACUGACGCUCAGGUGCGAAAGCGUGGGGAGCAAACAGGAUUAGAUCCCCUGGUAUCCACGCCGUAAACGAUGUCGACUUGGAGGUUGUGCCCUUGAGGCGUGGUCCGGAGCUAACGCGUUAAGUCGACCGCCUGGGGAGUACGGCCGCUUCUACCGGAUG
This 899-nucleotide ribosomal RNA is filed under the name Escherichia coli. RNAcentral describes it as "bacterial SSU rRNA". It matches the Rfam family "Bacterial small subunit ribosomal RNA", at positions 1 to 896 of the family's 1533-position model. Lineage: Bacteria; Pseudomonadati; Pseudomonadota; Gammaproteobacteria; Enterobacterales; Enterobacteriaceae. The record is from RNAcentral.